CUGCUAUUACAUAACUCCUGCUAGGCAAGCUGCUAGAAAGCCUUUGUUUUCUAUGUAUGUCGAAUCUCAUUUUCAUGAACCUAGGGUUAAUUGUUCCACUUUUGAAAUUCCUUCAAUGUUCUGGUGUGCUUGUAUUAUCUCCCUGACUGCUCUUGCUAUAUAUAUUUGCUUAAUAUCUUAUCCUUUCUUGCUUACAAAGAAAUAAAUCUACAUACCUAUGAGUUAGGAGCUUCUUUAAAAUUUAAGAAAAUAUCAGUUCCUUAGAAUAGAAAUGUAAAGAUACCUCCAUUAUGUUGAGUCGCAUUCUCUUCUCCAGGAAGAAAAAGCCCAGCUACCUCAGCAUUUCUUCGUAGGGAAGGUGCUCCAGUCCACUGAUCAUCUUCAUGGCCCUCCUCUAAACCCUCUCCAGCAGCUUCCCUGUACUGGGGCACUAGGCAUCACUGAGCAACAGACUAUGACAUCACCAGGUAAUGGACUGUGACUGCAUGGCCCUCACUGCUUAUAUUGGGGUGCCAGCAGAGCCUGGCUCAGUCUGGACUGAACCUGAGGAACACAAGGCAAGAUGGCAGGUCUAAUGAACCAUCUACUGGAAUGAAGGCUCUCUGUCUCAUCAUCAGCUACCUGUGAAUGUUAAUACUACCCUGUGCUUCCAUGUGGGAUCACUACAUCUCUGUCCUGCUGCAGCAUAUAAAGAGUAAAAGUCAUAGCCACCUACCUUCUUGAAGGAGUUGAUUUCCACUUACCAAUGAGUUACACUUCUGCUUUUCAAGAGACAGAAUUUGACCGCCUCCUAGUUUUAGAAGUUCUUCCUACUUUCUCCAACCAUAGUGAAUCCUACCAUUAGAUCAGUCUACACAUCUACUGUGGUCACCUGUAUCUGGCGCUACCUGCCCAGUUUUCUCCAACUCCUUCUGAGACCUAUGAAGUUCUUCAUCUUUUUCCUUCAGUCAAGACCAAUAUCAAGAAAAAAUCUGUUUUUUCCUCUUAGCCUAAUCAGACACUCUUCAGCUUCUUCAAAAUUACCACUACAGUUUGUAGACUGGAGAAUAGAAAAGGCAACUGCCCCAGUGAUCUCAGUUAUAAUCAACUGUACUGUUUUGAUGGAUUUUUAUUCUUUUUCUCCCAACCUGCAGAAUAUUUCCAGUUCUUGGAAAAGGAAGGACAGGGAGCUGUUUCCUCCACUACUUUAUUCUGCAAGACUGCUAGAUGGAGCAGGUUUUGUAAAAGCAACAGUAAUUUCAGUAGAGAGAUGCUUCUUCUCCUGUAAGUCUGAAACUAAUUGUAUUUUCAGUCAAAAUACAUUACAUCACAUUAAAAAAAUAAAAAAAUAAAUGUAGUUUAUUUACGUAGCAAGCAUUUCGGAUAUCUAUGGUUACGCAUUAAUAUAUAUAUAUAAACAUUAGGCUUUAAAAGCACAGAGACACAGGUCUAUGGGAAAAAGGCUUUGAGAUGUGGGAUCAAACAUCAUCCAAAACAUGCCAGAUUUCAGCAUGUUCUAUUGAAAGCAUGAUGUGUUAUCUAAUGAUCAUAGUUAGAGAUUAGCACAUGUCCUUCUGGAAAGAUGGAUUUCUCCAGCUGUCAGAUUGAAGAAUUCAGGUCUAGCGAGAUGACACUAAUGUAAAACUGCCCAUGAACAGGACAGAAUGCCCAUGUCAAUCAGUUCUUGUCAUCCCAAAUAUUUAUCAUAGGAUGCUUUAUAACAAGGUCGCAAAAAAUGCAUGACAGACCAAUUCUAGCUGUAAAGAAAACCUCCAAUAUUUUCCAUCAUCAAAAGAUAAUGCUAAAAAAGUGUUGAGGAGUGAUGUUACACCCAUGAAAUAGGUUCCCACAUGCUUAUCAUUGAAGAGGCUGAGAACAAGACAUUUUUCCCUGAACACCGAGGAAGGGACGUAAAUUGAGAGAUUUCAGUGGGAAUAUGAUCUCAUUACUUUCCAUGGAGGGAGUAUUAGUAAUACUCAGGCUGAUGAGACUACGGGAGCAGAUUUGACACCAUACAUGCUGCAAACCAAAAACUCAAAUGCAGGGAGCCUAUGACUGCUACUCUGGAAGCAGCACAGACUGCAGAGCAGCACUGUGAUUUGUCGACAGGCCCAAGGUAUGAGAAAUGAUCCCACUUUGCAUAAUGUGUUCCUUGCACAAAGUCUACCCAUGCACUCCGCAGAACAACAAAAGGAGACCAGGGCAGCUGGGAAACAGAAUGCAGGAAGGGGAAUUGCCCACAAAAUCAGGCUGCACAAAUUCAUGAUCAGGCUGCUGCUGCGAGUUAGCAUCAUCCUUCCUAUGAAAUCCAGUGAAGAGAAUAAGAUUUUCAUUUCACAGU
Molecule: non-coding RNA, 2320 nt
Organism: Coturnix japonica (Japanese quail)
Lineage: Eukaryota; Metazoa; Chordata; Aves; Galliformes; Phasianidae
Source: RefSeq, a predicted model, not a curated record